AACGUAGGGGUCGAGCGUUAUCCGGAAUUACUGGGCGUAAAGCGCGUGCAGGCGGCUGUGCAAGUCGGACGUGAAAGCUCCUGGCUCAACUAGGAGAGGUCGUUCGAAACUGUGCAGCUAGAGGAUGGUAGAGGCGAGUGGAAUUCCCGGUGUAGUGGUGAAAUGCGUAGAUAUCGGGAGGAACACCAGAGGCGAAAGCGGCUCGCUGGGCCAUCUCUGACGCUCAGACGCGAAAGCUAGGGGAGAGAACGGG
RNAcentral lists this unclassified non-coding RNA (253 nucleotides) under uncultured Anaerolineae bacterium. RNAcentral describes it as "contains 16S-23S intergenic spacer region". It matches the Rfam family "Bacterial small subunit ribosomal RNA", at positions 524 to 776 of the family's 1533-position model. Lineage: Bacteria; Bacillati; Chloroflexota; Anaerolineae. The record is from RNAcentral.